UCUGUGAGGAAUUUUUGUUGAGAACUCUUUGCCGAACGAGACGGUGAAAGGGGCUGCUGGCACCGAGAGUGGACUGGUGAAUGAGCAGAGUAAGAAAGAGUACAACAGGGUGGUUACGUGCCCAACUCUUAUUUCUGACUGUGAGCAGUUGCCAGGCAACCAGGGAAGACACAUGAAGUUGGAAUGAAAAAGUCCCCCUGAAAUGAAACUCCCUUGGCAUUAGUCUGAGCUGGGCCACUUCUGCCAGUUGUUAAACUGCUGAAACAUAUGGCUCAUCAUUUAUCUGUUCCAGCUGUGUCCCUCUCUAUCUCCCCACACAUCCACCAACCACUGGAACACAUCUCCAAAGUUCUGCCGGGCCAGCUCAGCUUCCCCUCAGAAGAAGUGCUGCCACCUGCCAGAUGAAGGAGCCUUUUGAGAGGCAGCUGGCAUCGUGAUUGGACUGUACUUUGGUCUGUUCCAGCUUCAGCUCCAGAGACGGCAGGCGGGACGAGUCAACGGAGGCCUGGUGGACGAAGGCAUGCAGCUGAGUACAAUCCAGAAAACAACAGAGGAGGAGUGCAGCGGCCCAUUAUAGCCUUUGACCAAAGAACUACAGACUCUUCACAACCUGCUCAAACUCUUGGUACAGGAUCUCACCACACGGGUCAAGGUUUCCAUCUCAUUUCUACUCUGAAGCUCACCUUCUCCUCCUCAAACUGCUGAGAAAUGUUUCUGCUGCUCUAAAGUCUGCUCUCCAGAACUUCCUAAAAACUCUCAAAGUCUCUUCUGCUG
Amphiprion ocellaris (clown anemonefish) is the source of this 774-nucleotide long non-coding RNA. NCBI's taxonomy places the organism in Eukaryota, Metazoa, Chordata, Actinopteri, Pomacentridae. The record is from Ensembl.